Psammomys obesus (fat sand rat) is the source of this 106-nucleotide small nucleolar RNA. RefSeq annotates it as small nucleolar RNA U13. The record is from RefSeq and is a predicted model, not a curated record. NCBI's taxonomy places the organism in Eukaryota, Metazoa, Chordata, Mammalia, Rodentia, Muridae. The transcript has a single exon.
UUCCUUUUUGGGUUUGUGAAAGGGAACACUGGAUGCUCACGCCACUGGGUGACACGUGGCUCUCUCACAAACCUUGUUAGGAUGCUGGCACGUUACCUGUCUGACA